CUUGGUAGAAAUGCCAGAGCGAGCAAGAAAAAGUUGAUGGCUUUGACCACUAAUGUUAUGAGAGAUGAUAGUGAUAAGGGCCUUGGAUUACAAGUUAUGAAAUAUUUGGCUGCCAAAUAUGAAGAGCUAGGGUGUGAAGUGAAAUGGAUGGGCAAGCCUGAUAAGGUGAUCUAGUCACAUUGGUCUGGUUACCGCUGUUAACUUCACUUCAUGUGAACCUUUAGCUUAAUACAUAUUUCUCUUGCACUUGACUACCAAGAUGAAUUUUGAGCAAGGCUACUUUUUGCUUUGAAGCAAA
Long non-coding RNA from Rosa chinensis, 298 nucleotides. RefSeq lists it as uncharacterized. The transcript has 2 exons. The record is from RefSeq and is a predicted model, not a curated record. Lineage: Eukaryota; Viridiplantae; Streptophyta; Magnoliopsida; Rosales; Rosaceae.